GUGGGUAGUUUGACUGGGGCGGUCUCCUCCCAAAGCGUAACGGAGGAGCACGAAGGUUAGCUAAUCCUGGUCGGACAUCAGGAGGUUAGUGCAAUGGCAUAAGCUAGCUUGACUGCGAGCGUGACGGCGCGAGCAGGUGCGAAAGCAGGUCAUAGUGAUCCGGUGGUUCUGAAUGGAAGGGCCAUCGCUCAACGGAUAAAAGGUACUCCGGGGAUAACAGGCUGAUACCGCCCAAGAGUUCAUAUCGACGGCGGUGUUUGGCACCUCGAUGUCGGCUCAUCACAUCCUGGGGCUGAAGUAGGUCCCAAGGGUAUGGCUGUUCGCCAUUUAAAGUGGUACGCGAGCUGGGUUUAGAACGUCGUGAGACAGUUCGGUCCCUAUCUGCCGUGGGCGCUGGAGAAUUGAGGGGGGCUGCUCCUAGUACGAGAGGACCGGAGUGGACGCAUCACUGGUGUUCGGGUUGUCAUGCCAAUGGCACUGCCCGGUAGCUAAAUGCGGAAGAGAUAAGUGCUGAAAGCAUCUAAGCACGAAACUUGCCCCGAGAUGAGUUCUCCCUGAGACUUUAAGUCUCCUGAAGGAACGUUGAAGACGACGACGUUGAUAGGCCGGGUGUGUAAGCGCAGCGAUGCGUUGAGCUAACCGGUACUAAUGAACCGUGAGG
Molecule: ribosomal RNA, 661 nt
Filed under: Klebsiella pneumoniae
Lineage: Bacteria; Pseudomonadati; Pseudomonadota; Gammaproteobacteria; Enterobacterales; Enterobacteriaceae
Description: partial 23S ribosomal RNA
Rfam family: Bacterial large subunit ribosomal RNA
Source: RNAcentral